CUUAAUAUAUAUAUAUAUAUUUUUUACAUAUAUGUGUGUAUAUAUCCUAUUGUUCCUGUUUCUCUGGAGAACUCGGACUAACAACCUGUCAAGUCCUUAGGACAGCGUCUACCAUACACCAAGCACACAAUAAAUCUUGUUAUUAAGAUGCAUCACGUUGAACCAAACGUGAUGAAGUUAAUUGCUGCUGCCUGGAGGGCCCUCUGGGAAGAUCCUGCUAGGACUGAGAAGAGGGGUUUUCUCCUAGGCAAGAAAUACAACGCAACGACAAAUCCCAGAAAUUUCUCAAGUCCAGAAGAUAGGCUACGGAAGCUGUGGUUCUGAGCCUCUCCCCCUCUCCCCCCGCACAGCACACCAUUGCCAGAACACUCUUUCUAAAGCGCUCUUUAAAUGCUACCAGCUCAUCGAGGGUGAACUCCUUCAUUUAUCUCACACAUAUGUAUUGAGGUGUUCGGCUUGGCCCUGGGGAUACGACAGUGAGUGAAAUAACCACAUCCCUGUCCAGGGAAGCAUACAGCCUAGGGAGGGAGCCAGACACCCAUGCAUACAUGUACCUCUCCAGGCUCCAACUGAUACAGCACAACAGCAACAACAACAAAAGAACUUGGUGUUGGGGAGGGGAUUGUGGGGGAGACCCUAAUUCAGAAAGACUUCCUGAAACUCCCUUUACUUCAUCCCCUCCUCAUGCCAGUGCACCACUUUGAUUUAGGUUUGAUGGGUUUAGCAUAAAUUCACUUAUUUGACUUACGGAUACUAUGGGCACUCACCAAAGGGAGGUCUCUGCAAGUAGAGGAACCCACCUUGCCAGCACAUGACCUCCUUUGCCCCCAAAUGACCCACUCAGGCACAGAGUGACCUAGACUUCAACUUGGAUUCCUCUUCUAAGACCGCCUUCCUGCUCCCCUCAUUCUCUCCCCUUCUCCCCCGUCCUCAGCAUCACUGGGGUGUACCCACUCUGCCUUUGCCCUUGCUAUUUCUGGAUGUUCCCCUUCUCCCUGCUGCUCAGCCAAACUCCUCCCUGGGAUCCAACCCUAAGUGCAAUAGGAGAGGAAAAAAGGAGGGGCCAGCACAGGCUGAAAACUUUAAGAAACAAUCGAGGGUUUACUUUGGACCUUGAAGGAUGCGUGGGAUGUAGGGUUUAGCUAAGAGAAAUGCGGAGAAGCGGGGCCUGGAUUUGGAGAACAUUGGAAGAGGUGACGGAUGCUGCCAGUGACCGAAACUGAGCCGUUUGAGUGGUCUGGGAGAGCCGGAGAAGGUGGACCAUUAACAUGGCUAGGCAAGUCAGGGUCCUAUCAUGAAAAAACAGGCAUUGUGCCUGCCCUCAAGGAAUUCUCUAUUAAUUGGAAAUUCCAGAAGAAAAAAACAAUUCUCCUUAAUGACUCCUCAUGCCCAGGCACAAUUCGGGGCACAGCAUAGUUUCCAAAGUUCAAUACCAGACUGACUGGCUGAAAUUCUUUUGAACUCAGUUGAGAGCCGACUCCAAACCUUUCCAUCUGCUGACUCCUCCUUUGUACACGAAGACCACAUUUUCCAUUUGCCUUAAAACAGCUGAACAUUUUUGCUGCAUUACUGAGGCCACUUUAAUUUAUCACUUUGUUUUAAGGAACCACACCAUCCAAAAAUAGCACAAAAUUACUCCUGUUUGAGGGUGGACGGUACUGCAGCUUUACAUGAGACGUGUAAUCUUCCAUUGAUGGGGCCAGCGUGAAUAGAGUCGCGAUUUUCUGCACGUUCUAACGGUUACAAUUGGGAGCGGCUCAGUUUUUGUGAAGCAAGUUAUAUGUUGGUUUUUGUUUUGUUUUUUGUUUUUGUUUUGUUUCGUGUUUUGGGGUUUUUUUUUGUUUGUUUUUGUUUUGUUUGUUUUGCCACCAGAGCCACCAAAGGAUGUCUGAGCAGCCACAGGGAGAAGCUGGGCAGCUGGGGUCCAAAUUCCUCCCUUGUCCAGGCCCAGGCAGGCUCGGAUAUUUUAAAGAGUCGACUUACCAAACCUUCUUUCUCCCAGCUUUCCACAAUGUCAUUUUGCGUCUCUGCUUCUAAAACAUUUGGUUUUACGUUGGAUGUCAUAUUUUAAGUAUAUGAGAACAUAGUUUAGGAUUUCACUGAAACCUGGCAGAUAAGUUAAAGGGGCAGUGUUUUGAGAAAUAGAAGUCAGUGCUGGUCUCUCCAGAAAUUUGGUUGGGAUUGUGAUUUUUCUUAUUUUUACGAUUAUAGUUUCUCCUCCCUCACCCCUUGCCUUGCACCACCCCUCUGCCCCCUGCCAUGUACAUAAGAGGGACUCAUUUUAGUGUCUGUCUUGAAAAUCACCAUAAUGGAAUAUAUAUGAGGAUUAGGCAUAGAAAUGUCAGGCCUUAUUAAGUCUCAGUAGUCAAACUCGCUCUUGUGUUUCCCAUUACCGCUCCAGUCUUUGAGACUUUCCAGAGAGGAAGAAUUCUGUGAGUCCCAUAGGAAAUGCAGCCCCUCCCCCAGAUUUAGCAGAACCUCGCCUGGGGUCAGUCAUUAUUGGAAGACUGUAAUGUUUUCCACUUUUGUUGACUUUUAGAAAAUUCUAUUUCAGAGGAGACCUUUGGGAGAUUCCUGUAAUCAAAUUCUGCCAAGGAGGGGAAAGUCUAGCUGUUAGCGUAUUAUUAAAUGCCCUGUAUAACCACGGAAUCUGGGCAUUCGUAAUCCCUCUCCCCAAGGAGCUCAGAGAGCUUUGGAUACAUUACUUUCUUUUAUUCAUCCUCACAAGGGACACGAAGAAAAUGAGGGGGCCAGACUCUAAACAGUCUUCCCGACAUGCUCAGCUAUCAUAGUACCAUGUUUAUUUUCCAUUCUGGACUUCUCUAAGGAGAUGUGUGGAGACUUGACAAAGCUUAGAAGCAACCUAAAAUAACCAUUAAAGGUAGAGCCACCAGAAUGUGGGCACUUGCCAGGGUUUAGAGAGACCCCUUUGGAGCAAAGCAAUGACCUUGUAAGUCCACCUAUGAGGAAGGAAAGGGGGCUCCUUACUUCAUGGGAACAAGCACAUGACUUCAGGAGCCCAGAAACGAGCUCUUGGCCCAGGAUGCACCUUGCUCGAAAGGGAGGCUCUCCCACCUUCUGCCAAAGACAGUGGCUGACGCAUCUCCCUGGCUGUCUUCCACUUUAAAGAACGAAUCAGCUGAUCAGCAUAGACUCACCUUCCUGUGCGCUGCCAAGAAGUAUGUGGGUCAGUGGGAGGUUCUAGUUGGGAGGUUCUGGCCCAGGAUGUGAACUAUGGUGACUCCAUAUUGCACUUUGUGGCCAGAGUGACCGUGCACACACUGUCUCAGGGAAAGAGUCAGAUAGUCUCUAGGCAAAAAGUAAACCUGGAAACCUCUCUUUCCUUUGGGCAUCUGUAUUUCCUCAGUGUUGGAAACCUUAACACACACACAACAUAGCUUCCCCAGGCCUUUAUUAGUCUACACCUUAGGUUUGCUCAAAUCUGCUUUACAGAAAAGAUUUUUUAAUAAUUUUUUAAUGUUUAUUUUUUACAGAGAGAGAGCAGGGGAGGUACAGAGGGAGAGAGGGAGACCUAGAAUCCGAAGCAGGCUCCAGGCUCUGAGCUGUCCGCACAGAGUUCAAUGCAGAGCUCAAACCUGCAGACCGCAGGAUCGUGACUUGAGCCGAAGUUGGACACUGAACCGACUGAGCCACCCAGGUGCCCCUGUACAGAAGAGAUUUAAUGAAAUGAUUCCUGAUGAGAUUGUGUUGCUUCUCCCCAGGGUGUCUGCAUUUGUAAAAGAACCAAACAUGAGAUCAGAGAGUUAAACUACUGUAUAUGAGGAAUUGCAAGGCUGGCGGAAGAGGCAUUUUAGCCAUACUACACCCCUCCCCGAGACCUAGAUUAUCCCAGAAGUGUGGCUGAUGCCUGUUCUACCUUCUCAGAAACGUGGGACACGGAAAAGAGCAGAGACCAGUGUGGAGGUUUAUCACGGGUUUAGCAUCCGAGUGACUUGGGCGGGAGUUCACCUUUCUAGGUGUCAGUUUGAGUCUACAGAAUGAAGGCUAGGAAGAAGCCCCAGUCCACACCAUUUCUUCCACCGUCUCCUCUCUUCCUCCUCAUCCUCCACCCUCCUCUCCCUCCUCCCUCACUGUUGGGGCCACCGUGUAGAUAAGAGUUUCCUCCUGGCCAGCUGUGUAAGCCAGAGUGGGAAAUUGUGGCCUACUCCCAAGUCACCCCAGAAUUUCUAUGCAGGUUUAAUUAGGAAGCAACAGUCUGGUGGAAGGGGUGGAGUUGGAAUGUGUUGCGCUUUACGUAGGACGGUGUCCUCCCUGCCCGCACCCAAGCUGUGCGUUGGCUCCAAUACUUACCAGCUGAUCCCCAGGAUACCUUAUAGUCUGGAGUUUCAGGAUUCAAAAUGUCAGCCUCAACUCUGGGGUCUGACCCACCAGCUGCUUCGGGUUGCCUCUCUCUCCAGCCCUUCUGUGCUCUCUGCCUUCCCUCCUCUCCUGCUCUGCUUUCCCAGGUCAAGCAGGCUACAGAAAUGCAGUCCCCUUCGGGCCCCAGCUGUUUGCCUGCCGGCCGUCUCUGUGUCCCAGAGUUGGGAGCGGGAAGCCCUUCACAUCCCAGCAGCCCUGACAGAGGCGUGAGGAUGGGCAGGGCUGCUGCUGGGAAGGGAAUAACUGAACCGGUUGUGUGGGAGCAACGUGCCUGAGAGAUAGCAGGCAGGGCAUGGGUGAAAAUGCUAAUAAAAAUUUAAAAUAGAACCUGCAGAACAGGUACUGCUCUUCUUGAGUCUGUUGGAGCCUACUGCCGAGAUCAGAAUGAUCCCCAUGGAUGUCAUGAGAGUGAGGAAGGCCACAGAGGGGACUGACCGAUGCUGGCAACCGUGUGUGUUAUUAUAACCUUUUUGCAAUGUUAUUCUUCGUCUGGACACCUGGUUCCAUCUCCGAUGCUAUCCAGAUGAUUCGUAAUCUAAUGUCGGCUUCAACACACAUUUAAAGGUAACUAGACCAAGCGUACAUUAUGUCAGGAGCUGCUCACCUGGAGGCCCCGCAGUUCAGGUCACCUGUAUUGUCUCUGGGCAACAUGCUAAUCAUGCUACUAGAAGCUGAGGACACACGGUGACCACAGUGAGUUCCUUCCCUCCCCUCAGGGGCCGGGUGUACAGGCAGGCGAUUUUAAAAUGAUCUGGAAUGGAGCAGGAGCCAAGAGAGCAGGGAGGAGGGGCCCACUUACCAGAGCGGUGGGGCCUGGCCUUGGAAGAUAAAAUGCGAGGCCGAGGCCGGGUUUGCAGGAUGAAAGGAGUUACCCAGGUGAGAGGGAGGAAGCGAAGGGCAUUCCCAGCAGGGGGAGCUCUCCUUUUGUGCAUUGGACCGAACUCAGGUGGGAGAUGGAAAGGGGAAAGGAAGCAAUCAGCGAGCGGGAAGAAAAGGGAUUGAUUGCAUCCUCUGACUUCUCUAUUCUUCUCACUCAGCCCUGAUUCCUGCAGAGGGCAAGGGCACACCGAAGGAGGGUUUUUAGCAGCUUAAAAGAGUGGGAGAAAAAGCAACUGAAUCAAAAGCCCAAGUUCUUUCAAGAAGUCCCAGAAAGUGGUCUUUACUCCUUCCCAUCACUCCCCAACAUCACCUAAAUCCAGGAGAAACUGAGAUGCCCCAGAAGCUCACCUCUGCAAGUGCCAUCAUGAAUAAUGCCAACACCAAGAAUCUGAGUAAGCAGUGUCCUAGGAGUACUGGACUUGUUUGCAGGCAUCCUUAUUGCUGAAGGGAGAGGGUUUAUUUGAUUUACUCUCAGGAGUUAUUUUCCUAGUAUUAAGUCACUCUAGGGAGACUUUUUGUGAUUACCUAUGAGUAAAUAAAACAGUGAAAUUGCAAUGAAAAUAAAUCAUUAAUCAACUUUAA
Molecule: long non-coding RNA, 5841 nt
Organism: Felis catus (domestic cat)
Lineage: Eukaryota; Metazoa; Chordata; Mammalia; Carnivora; Felidae
Exons: 2
Source: RefSeq, a predicted model, not a curated record